This 894-nucleotide ribosomal RNA is filed under the name Escherichia coli. RNAcentral describes it as "partial 23S ribosomal RNA". It matches the Rfam family "Bacterial large subunit ribosomal RNA", at positions 1917 to 2810 of the family's 2925-position model. The record is from RNAcentral. Lineage: Bacteria; Pseudomonadati; Pseudomonadota; Gammaproteobacteria; Enterobacterales; Enterobacteriaceae.
GCCCCGGUAAACGGCGGCCGUAACUAUAACGGUCCUAAGGUAGCGAAAUUCCUUGUCGGGUAAGUUCCGACCUGCACGAAUGGCGUAAUGAUGGCCAGGCUGUCUCCACCCGAGACUCAGUGAAAUUGAACUCGCUGUGAAGAUGCAGUGUACCCGCGGCAAGACGGAAAGACCCCGUGAACCUUUACUAUAGCUUGACACUGAACAUUGAGCCUUGAUGUGUAGGAUAGGUGGGAGGCUUUGAAGUGUGGACGCCAGUCUGCAUGGAGCCGACCUUGAAAUACCACCCUUUAAUGUUUGAUGUUCUAACGUUGGCCCGUAAUCCGGGUUGCGGACAGUGUCUGGUGGGUAGUUUGACUGGGGCGGUCUCCUCCUAAAGAGUAACGGAGGAGCACGAAGGUUGGCUAAUCCUGGUCGGACAUCAGGAGGUUAGUGCAAUGGCAUAAGCCAGCUUGACUGCGAGCGUGACGGCGCGAGCAGGUGCGAAAGCAGGUCAUAGUGAUCCGGUGGUUCUGAAUGGAAGGGCCAUCGCUCAACGGAUAAAAGGUACUCCGGGGAUAACAGGCUGAUACCGCCCAAGAGUUCAUAUCGACGGCGGUGUUUGGCACCUCGAUGUCGGCUCAUCACAUCCUGGGGCUGAAGUAGGUCCCAAGGGUAUGGCUGUUCGCCAUUUAAAGUGGUACGCGAGCUGGGUUUAGAACGUCGUGAGACAGUUCGGUCCCUAUCUGCCGUGGGCGCUGGAGAACUGAGGGGGGCUGCUCCUAGUACGAGAGGACCGGAGUGGACGCAUCACUGGUGUUCGGGUUGUCAUGCCAAUGGCACUGCCCGGUAGCUAAAUGCGGAAGAGAUAAGUGCUGAAAGCAUCUAAGCACGAAACUUGCCCCGAGAUGAGUU